GGCGCCGGAGCGGCGCUGCGACGAAUAUCCGCACCAACUGUCCGGCGGUAUGCGCCAGCGCGUGAUGAUCGCGAUGGCGCUGAUCUGCAAGCCGAAGCUAUUGAUCGCGGACGAGCCGACCACAGCGCUCGACGUCACGGUGCAGGCCCAGAUCACCGAUCUCCUGCGCUCGCUGAGCGAGCGGACCGGGACGGCGCUCAUUUUCAUCACGCACGAUCUCGGUGUGGUCGCCGAAAUCUGCACCCGCAUGAUCACCAUGUAUGCAGGUGAAGUGGUGGAAGACGCGCCGGUCGAUGACGCGCUGAUGCGUCCGCGCC
This 317-nucleotide unclassified non-coding RNA is filed under the name Hevea brasiliensis (rubber tree). The record is from RNAcentral. Lineage: Eukaryota; Viridiplantae; Streptophyta; Magnoliopsida; Malpighiales; Euphorbiaceae.